GCGAACGCUGGCGGCAGGCUUCACACAUGCAAGUCGAGCGGGCACCUUUCGGGGUGUCAGCGGCGGACGGGUGAGUAACGCGUGGGAACGUGCCCUCUGGUUCGGAAUAACUCAGGGAAACUUGAGCUAAUACCGGAUACGCCCUUUUGGGGAAAGGCUUGCUGCCGGAGGAUCGGCCCGCGUCUGAUUAGCUAGUUGGUGAGGUAACGGCUCACCAAGGCGACGAUCAGUAGCUGGUCUGAGAGGAUGAUCAGCCACACUGGGACUGAGACACGGCCCAGACUCCUACGGGAGGCAGCAGUGGGGAAUAUUGGACAAUGGGCGCAAGCCUGAUCCAGCCAUGCCGCGUGAGUGAUGAAGGCCUUAGGGUUGUAAAGCUCUUUUAUCCGGGACGAUAAUGACGGUACCGGAGGAAUAAGCCCCGGCUAACUUCGUG
RNAcentral lists this ribosomal RNA (436 nucleotides) under uncultured bacterium. RNAcentral describes it as "partial 16S ribosomal RNA". It matches the Rfam family "Bacterial small subunit ribosomal RNA", at positions 29 to 507 of the family's 1533-position model. The record is from RNAcentral.